AUGUGAUCGUCUCUCGCAUAUCAAUAAGCGGAGGAAAAGAAACUAACAAGGAUUCCCCUAGUAACGGCGAGUGAAGCGGGAAGAGCUCAAAUUUGAAAUCUUAAAGGGUUUCCCUUUACGAAUUGUAGUUUAAAGAAGUGUUUUCUGUUGAGGUUUUGGUAAAAGUUCUUUGGAAUAGGACAUCAUAGAGGGUGAGAAUCCCGUAUUUGACCUUUACUUUCAACUUUGUGAUACACUUUCAAAGAGUCGGAUUGUUUGGGAAUGCAGUCCAAAAUGGGUGGUAAAUUUCAUCUAAAGCUAAAUAUUGGCGAGAGACCGAUAGCGAACAAGUACCGUGAGGGAAAGAUGAAAAGAACUUUGAAAAGAGAGUUAAACAGUACGUGAAAUUGUCAAAAGGGAAGCGUUUGACACCAGUGUUGUUUUUCUGAAAAUCAAUUAAAGAACUGUUUAUGCUAAGCUUGUUUAGACUUUAUCAGCUAUCUGUUUAGUUUUGAGCUUUUCUUUAAUGCACUUUUCAGUUAACAAGUCAACAUCAAUUUCUUUUGCUGUAAAAAAGCUUGAGGAAGGUGGCUUGAGAUUCGUCUUAAGUGUUUAUAGCCUCUUGCCUAUGCAGUCGGAGAGAUUGAGGUCUGCAGCGUAGAUCCUUCGGGGCUAAAUGCAUUUGUGCUAAGUUAUAGCAUUUUAUAGACAACUUGUUGACUAUGAUUUGUCUUGUAGCUUACUCGCUUAUGUUAUUUUACCUACGCUUAGGAUGUUGAACGCGCACAGAGUCUC
Molecule: ribosomal RNA, 774 nt
Filed under: uncultured Neocallimastigales
Lineage: Eukaryota; Fungi; Neocallimastigomycota; Neocallimastigomycetes; Neocallimastigales
Description: partial large subunit ribosomal RNA
Rfam family: Eukaryotic large subunit ribosomal RNA
Source: RNAcentral